Molecule: transfer RNA, 57 nt
Filed under: Camelus bactrianus (Bactrian camel)
Lineage: Eukaryota; Metazoa; Chordata; Mammalia; Artiodactyla; Camelidae
Also listed under: 2 other names
Rfam family: tRNA
About the family: Transfer RNA (tRNA) molecules are approximately 80 nucleotides in length. Their secondary structure includes four short double-helical elements and three loops (D, anti-codon, and T loops).
Source: Rfam by way of RNAcentral
UAGCUCAGUGGUAGAGUUCAUGUUUAGCAUGCAUGAGGUCCUGGGUUCAAUCCCCAG